AGCUUUGGUUAUUUAUAAAAAGACAAUGAUAUUGAACAUAUUUUGUUAUGGAAAAUGAAAAAAACUAGAGGAAAUUUGAGACCCACAAAAAAAAAAAAAAAACCAACAUUUUCAUGAUAGACUCUACUUUUUUUUUAAAAAAAUAAAUUGUGCGAGAACACAUCCUAUAACUAUAUCUAAAAUUACUUUUUACUUGUUUAGUUGAAUUCUCAUGCAAAGGAGUCAUAUCCGCGUCCUUGAUGUCUGUUUUUUAAUCGAUAAAAUUUUUUUAUUGAGCGUAAAAUAGACCAAGGCCGAGCAUACGGAACAUAUACAAGAGCUUCGCCUAUGCAUGCUAGUUUAGCGAUACAAAGAAGUUAUGAAAAGACAUGCUAGUAAAAUCAAUUACAAUGAACCAAUAGAGUAAAGUGUUGAAAAAUAACUAAGCUCAUCCAUUGGCCACUUUCGAUCUUUAAAGUUUCUUGCAUUUCUCUCCCUCCAAAUACACCACCAUAGACAAAUUUGGACCAUCUUCCUCAAUGUCUGUUAGCCUUGGUUCUGCUAACUCAUCAAGAUGCAAAACUAAACUGUGACUGUAUCUUUGACCUUUUCGCUCUUUUCCAAUCUGUAUAUAUUAUUGAAGUACGGCUGAUAUUUGAUAGUGGGUGGAGAUAUGAACUACACGAUUAGUGGCAGCCUGAACUCACUGCUGGCGGGGGGAGUAUCAGCCUCACUACUGUAUUAUGUUUAUGCUACACUUCCCACAAAACCCGUUCUUGCAUCAUCCAUAGGGCUUGGCCUGUCUGUUGCACUUUUGGGAGUGAUGGGUAGUUGUUUUGAGAAAUUUGGGAAGAUAUAUCCACGUGUUGUAUCUUUGGUGUCGCUUAUAAUGACCGUUGGUUACUUUGGGAUUAUGCGGAGUCCACGCUGAAAUGUUUACAAGCGAGACUCUAGUUAUCUGCUGAGUCUGUAUGGUACUCGCCAACUUUGAUCGAAUUAUAUCUCAUCCAGUAGCCAGGAUUAGUGUGUUCACAUGUCUUCUGUGUUAUAAUAUGCAUAUUGUCUGC
This is a long non-coding RNA of Carya illinoinensis, 1046 nucleotides long. RefSeq lists it as uncharacterized. The transcript has 2 exons. The record is from RefSeq and is a predicted model, not a curated record. NCBI's taxonomy places the organism in Eukaryota, Viridiplantae, Streptophyta, Magnoliopsida, Fagales, Juglandaceae.